UCCAUCCACCCAUCCACCCAACCAACCAUCCAUCCACCCACUCACCCAUCCAUCCAUCCAGGAUGCCACUAGGGUAUCAGAGCCCUUAGAACACUCAGCUGAGCCAUAAUCCACAGUACCCCAGCCCUGUGCAGCCCCUGUGUCCCUGCCCUCCUCAUCUGCUCUCUACCCCUGCUUUUUGCUGCCUGGACAGCCCUCACUCUGUACAUCAGUGUGGACAAGGCCUCGGGUCCUACCUCUACAAUGCAUGUGCCACACCUGUUUUGCCAGUUUACAAUUUUACUGCAGAGAUGGGGUGUAAGGAGCUAAGGGAAGAGCCCUAUGGAGCCCUACAGAGGAGACUCUGACCUCCACCCCGUGCCUCUCCCUACUCUCACCUUCUUCUGUUUCUUCUCCAGAGGCGAGCGCCACCUCCACAAUGAACCCUACAGUCUUGUGCUGAAUAAACCAUGCCUGGAGGCUCAGCUUUUAUCUCAAGUCAGAUGGUCAAAAACACUCCCCCACAGGAGCUCUAGGGAGAAAAGCGAUUACUUCUUCCUCUCCUAUGUGUCCUAUUUUUCUGUCUGGAAACCCUUGUGUUAAGGCAGGGACAGAUAGAGAGAGAGUGAUUUGAGAAAGAUCGACAGAUGGAAAACAAGUGGCAGAUCUUAGAGGCGGGGUCAACUCCCACACAUCUCAGAAAAAGGAAGGUAAAUACACCAGCAAUGACAGUUCUGUGUGCAAUUCUGUCUCUUACUGAAUUCCUUGGCCCGCGCCCAUGGACUGCAAGGCAUAGACCAUGUGCAGGCUGGUUCUCUAAAGGCAUGGUUCUGGUGCUCUGCAUGCAUUGCCCCACAACUCAGGCUUGGGAAACACGAGCACUCACCCCUCAGUCUCCGAGGCUGGGAAUCUGGGACCGGCUUGGCAGGUGGCUCUGGCUCAGGGUCUCCUGAGGCUGCAGGCCUCUUGAUCAGGUUGGGGAUUUGCUCCCAAGAGGCCUCUCCCUGUGUGCUGGGGCGACCUCACAUCCUCAUAGUGUCCACUCUUCUCGCACUGUGGCACACAGCUUCCACCAGGAUGGCCCGAGAGGGAGGAAGGGAGAAGUCAUAGUGUUGUGACCCGGGCCUGGAGGUAAGGCAGGCUGCUCAGGGCCUGGUUACUAGGGGUGAACCUCAUGCAGGGGGCUCUCAGGUACAGCCGUCAUAGGCAUUUUCUUAGGGGAGGUUUCAUAAACAUUGGAGAGAAAAGUCCAGAGGAAGCAGGACUAGGAGGUGGGGAUGUGUGGUGCCUGCCUCUCUAGUCCCAGUCCUUCCUCUGGUGUUUUCCACCUGAUACGGCCACUCCAGGCUCCACACACCAGGGGGACCAUGUGUACCCUUCACAGCAAACCACUUCAUACUGGUCAUUUUGCAGUGGUGACAGCAAGCAGCAGUUCUGAGUCCAUGCAGCACGCAAAGUUCGUUACCUAGCGACUAUGUUUAAAUGCAAGAUCAUUGGCCGUUUCACAAAGGUGGAAGUGGAAAUAGUUCUCGAGGUCCUGAGUGGACUCCACUCUGGGAGGCGGCAACUUUCCCUCCAGCAAACAGCUAGAGACGUGACCAGGACUCUGCCUGUGCAGACUGCAGUGGACCGAGCCAAGAAAGCCACACGGGUUUCCUCCGAGAAAACAGUGGUUCAGACGAACUCUGCUGCUUCUCCUAGGAACCUUCACUGCUCUGUGGCUGGCUGUACAGCUCCUGAGGAAGCAGGAGGGGCUUUGAAAAGGGACUCAAGCGAAAAUCCUAGAGGAUGGGCUGUGGGGAUGUUUCCCAAAUAUGCAGCCAGCUCCCUCUGCCAGCAAAGAGGGACAAGAAGCUAGCAAUCCCCAUGAAAAGCAGAGAUCACACUUAAAUGCUACGCACCGCAUCCCUCUCUCGUGGUGUUGUCUCAUCCCAUCCUUUUAUAUUCUUAUUGUUUCUCAGAAACCCAGGCUGGUGAAUAAGAAGAAUGUGUGUAAGUAGGAGUCAGAGGAGAGUUCAUUCACACCUUCAGUAGUCACUGUGGCGGUUGUUUGGCGCGGUCAGGCUGCGUAACCGUGUUUAGACUUCGUGCUCUGUCCUGGCUGGUGUUCACUGAACGCUUGCAUCUCCUGAAACCCUGACGGUGUUUUGGGGCUUAAAACAAAGUAAGAUAAGUAAGGCAAGCUCCUUGCUCCUAAAGGACCUGGAAGUAUCAUCUGGAGAGAGAAUUUACUUGAAAAAAGGAACAAAACAAGAGAGAAAUAAGUUUGAAGCUCUGUGGUGGAGUCCCUGGAGCUCUGGGGCGAGAUGGGGCGCACAGGAUGUGAUGACCUUGGGCCAUGGAGCAGGAUCCCCUUGGCUGGCUCUGGGGCCUCAGGGUUCCCCUGCACAGCUGGUCAUGUGGGUGUGGCAGGACUUUCAUUGCAAAUACUGACACAGUCUGAGGCCAGGUUGGGAGAAUUAGGCCCCACGUGUGCCGCCCUGCUAUGCUGCCCUCUCUGUCCAGGCAGUCACGGGACCCCAGGACUGAGCGGGUCUGUGGAGAGCUCACCUGGGGCAGGUGACCUGCGUGUGGGAAGAGCCUGGUGUAGCAGGAGCCGUGUGCCGUGCCGGGCCUGGAGGGAGGGCCACAGGGCCAGGGGCAGAAGAAGGGGGCCCAGCGCAGGGCAGGCACAGGGAGGGUGGCCGUGCUGCACAGGCUCAGCUCGGACACCGUCCAGACACCACCAGGCACAAUGGGUGGCCACAGCCCUGCCCUUCGCCCUCACGCCUGUGGGCAAACACCAGCCUUGCCCCGGGGAUUCUGCCAGUGAGGACUGGAAAUAUUUGCAAAGAAAAAACCACGUCUGUACAGAACAUAUCAAACUGCCCUGGGCACUUCCUGCAGGGUGCAGGCGACAGCUCCUCUCUCUGCUCUCUAGGAGGAUGUGUGCAGCUCCAUGAGCUCGGAACCACUUCCUGCGGGGGCCCCAGUACUCGAGGACCGAGGUGUGGCUGGACUCCUGGACCCCUUCCCUGGGAGCCCCCUCGACCGUGCCGCUGGCCCCUUGGGCCCUCAGGCUUGCGCUGAACAAGGCUGCCUUGUUAAGCGGGAAAUCCCUUGGACAAGUUUGUCUCAAGCAGGAAUGGUUUUGAUUUCACUUCAACACCUAUGCACGAGCGGCGCCUCACCUCACGCCUCACCUGGAUCAUCUUACUCAGCCUUCCAACACUCACACGGGCGAGGCCCCAAGCCCCGGCCUCACAUGCAGUUUAGGUGCGGUUCUUCAUGCUAUGGAUGAAAGGAGCCAAGCUCAGGUGUGGGAGGAAGGAGAGCAGUUCGUGGCCAAGCUGCUCACUUUAGGAGACACUGCGACGGCUUCCAAGACGGCAGCUCCCUGGCAGGACGGGGUCCUACAAGGAGACAGGGACGUCAGCCAAGGAGACGUGGUCCCCACACUCCACGGCCACCAGGAGCUUCCUGUCCCCCAGGAAAGUGCACACAUGGAAGAGUGCGACUGCGACCCAGCCCGGCCCUGUGAUGAGGGGCGCAGCGGGGCCCCUAAGCCAGCGGGGUGGGGCGCUCAGGCCGAGGAAAGCUUUGUGGGGGACGCUGAGGUCUGAGGUGUCCCUGGGGUGAGCUCGGGCCCUGCCAUCCGCCGGAACUCAGCUGCACCUCACUCUGCUGCCACAGCAGAUGGUCUAGGGGCCGGUGUCCAGUGUGGUCCUCACUGCUGUGGCCGCUGCUGUUGGAUAUGGGCUUGGCUGUGGAGGCUGCCAUUGACCCUGGGAGGGGGCUGUGCAGCCCUGUUCCUGUCCUCGUCCCUUGGCUCCGCACAACUUCCUGCAAGUGGUUUUGCCCCACCCUGAGCCCCUGCCAUAGCUGCUUCCCUUCUCAGAAGCCCAAAGAGAAAUGGGCCCGAUGCUGGGCUGGAACCCCCAGAACGCUGAGCCAGGGUGACUCCUCUCUUCAGGACUGGGCUGCCUCUGGGAUUUGUUGCAGUCACCAAAGCUGACGAACACAGCUUCCGCAUGGGCACCGUGGGAAAACAACAGGAACUCUGGAUGCCGCAAGGACUAAAGAGAGCAGUGUGGGAAGCUCUGCAUGUUAGUUGUGGGGUCGCUGUGGCCGUGAGGUGCUGCCCUGGGGCUGCUGAGGUCUACACUGCUGUGAUUGGUGGAGGGCUGCUCGAACUGGGAGGUGUCUGCACCCUGCAUGGUGGCAGCUGUGACUUCAGGAAAACUCAGUAGGGCAUCUUUCCUCAGAGCAGUUUCUACAGUCAGAAGACCAUGAAAUGGUGAGGGGAAAGGAAAUUGGGCACCACACGAACUCCACAUCCAGCCUUCUCCAGUGUUGCUUAGCAGUGGUGGUGACUGGGAAGACACCGGCCAGAGCAGCCUGCAGGUCUCUCCCUGGUGGCACGGGGCCGGUCCCAUGGCCCUGGGGAUGCGUUCAGGCUCCUGGGGAAGGCCUGCUCCAGCCCUGGGCUUGCUGGUCUCCGAGUCUGUCCAAGCAGAGCCCAGGGACGUGGGUCACACGAUGGUAACUCUGCGGCCCAGGAUUCUGUCACCAACAGCAGCUGAAGGCCGACAGGGCUGUGGGUUCUUCUUCCACCUCCUCCCCAGGGGGCAGCACCCGUUCCUGAGUCACCACCCACUGACUGCUUCCUGAAGUGGGCUCUGAGCGGUGGCCAGCCACUCAGGAACUGCCCCAGCAGGCCCAGUCCUGGCCUCUGUUCCGGUGAUCACAGCCCUUCCCUCAGGGCCCACUGCCCUGCCCGGGGAGCUCGAGUGUGGUUAUCCAACAUGUGGUGCGGGCAGCAGGGACAGCUCUGGACCGGAAGGGCUGACCAGCACUGAAAUAGCAACAUCCCAGGUGAGAAGUGGAGAGUAAAAACAAGCUGUGCUCAUGAGCUCUCCUCGCCCUACAUAGCUGCCCGGCACCUGCACCCACUCCCCUGCUGCGCAUGGCACAGGUGGAGGGAGGGAGUCGGUGGUGAGAGUCCUGUCCUGGCUCAUCUUGUCCAGAGGCUCAGACGCUGUCCGAAAACCACAGAAGCGUGGGAGCUGCCCAGAGCGAGCCAUCGUCCCCUGCUCCUCCCACCCACUCCAUGAGGGUUUACUGUGCUGGGCAGAUGGGAAGUCCGCUCACCCGGGUGAGCUGGUGGCUCAGGGUCGAGCAGGGACAGAGAUCCUGGGAACCAAAGCCAGGUCACUGGGCCCACUGCCCGUGCUGGCCAGGAGGAAGUGGCCCUGGUGUAGCUGAGGCUCUGUCCCUCGUUGCUGUCCCCAGUGUGGCUGUGCCCCAGGGGGCAGAGCUCUGGGGAGGCUGUGCAGGAGGCCAGGCUGGGACUCCAUUCCCUCUGCCUGGUGGGUCCUGCUGCCCCAGGCUGGCUCUUGGCAGGGCCCACCAUCAUGACAGUGGUGACACACUACGUGCUGCGCUGCCACUGAGCCCAGCUUUCCUGGAGUCAACAAUCCCAGUCUCGGGGUUUCGAGCAGUGGCCCCAUUCCCUGAACCAGAAUGAGAGAGAGGAAGAUGGGCCAGUGUCACCUUGGCCACGGGCACAGGCACUAGGUGGAGGAGGUGCAGACCAUGACAGCAAGGCAGGGCUCGGGCCUUGGCUGGGGAAGCAGAUGCUGGGUAGACACCACCUUUCCCAGGUUCACGGCUCCCUGUGGGAGCUUGGAGCCUGGAUGGGCAUAAGGGGACAGAAAGAAGCCAGGCUUGCUGCCGCCUGCCCACCCUUCCAUGGACUGUCUCUCCUCAGCAGUGCCACCCUGCCCUGGAGCCAGCUGACUAUCGACUGAAACCUGGACAAACUGAGCCCAAAUAACCCUCUCCUCCUUUAACUUUGGAUGUCUGGUAUUUUGUCCUAGAAACGAGAAGAGUAACUAAGACAGUGUACAAGGCAGACUUUGCUAGAUUUCAGACAGAAGAUUUGCACUGGGAAAGGAAGAGAGAGGAUGGAAAGUGGAGCAGCUUUCUCCCUGAGAGGAGUUCCUGCCUGCACAGGGAGUGGAAGAACAUGGCAGACCUGGGACUGGUGGGGGGCGUGGACUUCAUCUCCAUUGUGAGGGGGCUGUAGGCCAGCGGGGCUCCACCCUCACGGUGGGUGAAGAUUGUCAGCCAUCAUUAGGGUUUAGAUCUGGAAUGUUCCCAAAGGCUCAGGGGUUUGGAGGUGGGCUUUGGGAGGUGACUGGAAUGGGGUGGUGCUGUGCUCAGCCAUGGAUUAAUCCAUGAUGGACUCCUGGCUAAAUGUGUGGUAGGAGGUGAGGUUGCAGGGGUGGGUCACUGCGGUGUGACCUGGAAGGGUGUGAUCUUAUCCCAGGGUCCUCUCUUCCUUCUCUGCUUCCUGGCUGCCCAGUGGGGAGCAGCUACCCCUGUCGGCCCUUCCACAUGCUGUUUCUGCCUUGGAACCAGUUGACCUUGGACUGAACCCUCUGAAGCCACGAGAGAAAAUAAACCCCGCUUCCUUUAAAUUGCAGGUGUCUGGCUUUUGUCCCCACGGUGGGAAAGUGACUCAGACAGUGAUCCUCGUGGGAGUGGGGCAGUUACCUUGGAGAGCUGAGUGACGACGGCAGAGGCCAGAUGCCAGCAUCUUCAUAUUGGCUUCCUGCCUCCAGAGCUCUAUGAAAUAACUUUAUAAAUAGAACAUUAGCAAGUGAGAUGAAACGUUACUCCUCAUAAUAAAGUGAGGUGACGCAGGAAGUUAGAAAACCUGAAAUCAGCAAAUACGCGAACCAAGCUUGUGGGGAUCUGAGGGGUGCUGGGGUGCGGGGACUACAGAGAGGUGAUGGGGUCACUGUGGCUUCAGGGUGAAGACUGAACUGCAGCUGGGGUGAGUUGGGAAUGAGGUGAGGGGCAAGGGCUCCCCAGGAGUGUGACGCGCAAAUUCACUCUGCAGACAGAAUUGCGAUUGCUCAUGAGAUGGGGAGUGACCCUGGGCUGUCUAGGUGGGACCAGCAUCAUCACAAGUGUCCCUGGAAGUGGAGGAGGAGUGGGUGGGACAGUGCCUGGGCUGCAGCAUCUGCUGGGAAGGAGCAGAGGAGUAAGGGGAUGUCUAGGAGAGGAGGCAGGGCCUGAGGGGUCAGACGCAGGUCAGGGUCGGAGUCCCCCAAGAGAGCUGGGGGUGACUCAGAGAGAGGCAAGGCUAGAAGGGAGGACUCGGAUGAGUUGACUCAAGAACUAGAUCUGGUGACACCGUAAACACUGGCGUUGCUUUAGAUGAAAACAUCUUGUAUCCUGUGACACCUUUGUUCCUACUCCUAUGCUACCUUCUCCUUCUCAAAGUGUAAGCCCUAGGGUUUUCAGCCCGUUCUGUUUCCCUGGGGGGCUGUAAAGAUGGAAUUGUAUUGCCUGACCUUGAAACAGUGCAUCCUUUCUACUGCUGAUGAGAGUGAUCUCAGCAAGACAAAAAGGUCCCAGCUUUUUUAUACUAUUCUACGUCAUAGAAAUCAUUUCAGGUCUAAAAAGAGGAAACUUGUCAAAAGUCAGUCCUGUGAUUCUUAACAGUGAGCUUAUGGGUAGUUAUUUGUCCUGGUGAUGGGAUAAUGUUUAAUUUUAUCUCUAUUUUCCAGAAGGUGUCACUGUUGUGAGUUUGAUAAGCCAUAAGAGGACCUUGGCACUUUCUUAUUCCAUAUGAGUGGACAUGAAGAUUAAAAGUUAAGAUUCUGUUACGUUUCAUAGUUUUGAUAUAGGACCUCCAAGUGAUAUAGGGGAAAUAACUCCCAAUCUACCAAGUGUCAGCUACACUGAGUUUGUGUUCCCCAAAAGCAAAGACUGAAUUCUAAGGCACAACAGAGGAAAAGGGCAGGAACUGUUUAUUGAGAGGGAGAGAUUUUAACUCCUGAGAGACAGGAGGGGACCUGAAUUGGUUACCAGGGACCCCACUUCACAGGGGAAGUCUUGUAGAGCAAAAUCAUGAGUUGGGUACAAUGCGGGACAAAACUCGGAUCAACCAAUGAGAUUACAAGUAGACCUGAGUAGGUAAUGUUGAUCCAAUGAAAAAACAGGUUACGUAGCAAGUGUACAUGGAAAGAACAAAGAACUUUUUUAGGAAGGGACCGGUCCAGAGGGCUUGGUCACCCACUGGGCGACUGAUGUCUACCUAGACUUUAUUGGGCCAGGUGUUACCACUUAUCUUAUCCCUUGAGGAAGUACGCAGGCCUGGUCAUGUUGACUUUAUCUUGAGGCCUGGCCUCCAACAGUCUCCAGCCACAGUUGUAAUUUUUCAUCCUUUGCACUGACUCUCGAGCACCCAGCCCUAUCUGACUGCCUAUAAUAUUUCUACCUAACUUAGCUGUCUAUAAUAGUGGGAAGUCUGGGCCUCUGGCCUCUUCCCUCACUAACAACUGCUUUGCGGAAUUGUGUUUCCUGGAGCAGGACACAAGCAGGACUGAGACCACCAGGGACAUCUGGAGAGAGAGCGGGGUCCUCCCCACCUCCCAGGAGAGAGCGAAUGGCCCAGGGUUUCCACCCUCACUGUACCCUGAGCCACGCAGAUGCGGAAGCUGGAGAGGACUGGAAGGGGCAGCUGCCUCCUGGGGCAGCCCCCCUGGGCUCCUGGAGGCCUGUCCCCAGCUGGGCCCACACUACUGCCUAGGCCUACUUCAGUUCUUCUUUUUAUGGUCACAUGUUUGCAUUGUAUAAUGCCCGCACUCCCAGAGGGGAGCUGGUGCAGGCGCAGAACUCACCUCAGUUCCCUCUAGGUCCCCUCCACUCCCCUCCCUCCAUCUUCCUCCCCUCCCCAUUUGCAGAAGAUCUACCUUUUU
Molecule: non-coding RNA, 8732 nt
Organism: Heterocephalus glaber (naked mole-rat)
Lineage: Eukaryota; Metazoa; Chordata; Mammalia; Rodentia; Bathyergidae
Source: RefSeq, a predicted model, not a curated record